GACGAACGCUGGCGGCGUGCCUAAUACAUGCAAGUUGAGCGCUGAAGGUUGGUACUUGUACCGACUGGAUGAGCAGCGAACGGGUGAGUAACGCGUGGGGAAUCUGCCUUUGAGCGGGGGACAACAUUUGGAAACGAAUGCUAAUACCGCAUAAAAACUUUAAACACAAGUUUUAAGUUUGAAAGAUGCAAUUGCAUCACUCAAAGAUGAUCCCGCGUUGUAUUAGCUAGUUGGUGAGGUAAAGGCUCACCAAGGCGAGGAUACAUAGCCGACCUGAGAGGGUGAUCGGCCACAUUGGGACUGAGACACGGCCCAAACUCCUACGGGAGGCAGCAGUAGGGAAUCUUCGGCAAUGGACGAAAGUCUGACCGAGCAACGCCGCGUGAGUGAAGAAGGUUUUCGGAUCGUAAAACUCUGUUGGUAGAGAAGAACGUUGGUGAGAGUGGAGAGCUCAUCAAGUGACGGUAACUACCCAGAAAGGGACGGCUAACUACGUG
RNAcentral lists this ribosomal RNA (497 nucleotides) under uncultured bacterium. RNAcentral describes it as "partial 16S ribosomal RNA". It matches the Rfam family "Bacterial small subunit ribosomal RNA", at positions 28 to 507 of the family's 1533-position model. The record is from RNAcentral.